Non-coding RNA from Nomia melanderi (Alkali bee), 2172 nucleotides. NCBI's taxonomy places the organism in Eukaryota, Metazoa, Arthropoda, Insecta, Hymenoptera, Halictidae. The record is from RefSeq and is a predicted model, not a curated record.
CAUUCAACUAUGAUUAAUUUUUUCACUAAUCCUCAAAUUCAUAAUCUGUAGCUUGAUAUUUACCAAUUAAUCAAUCUGCAACAUCACGUGCCAAAAGUGCCUUUCAUCUUGACAUAAUUAGCGCACAUUUUCCCAUCCUCUCUCCUUUCCCAGAAGCGUCAGUGUCAUCCCAGCAUUUCUGCCAAAUGAAACGUUACAAUUAGAGAAGAAAAAAUGUAUAGAACAAGCCUGACAUAACCGUUUUCGUCCGCUUUGAAACGCUCGCACGAGCAACCUCUUCCCGCGCGAUGGUUGCCUGCUGCACAGUCGACUUUCCGCAAUCGACAGUGUUUUGCUUCGGAACGAUUCUCGACUUGGCGCCCUAUCGACAUCGAGAUCGUUGGUCACCGACCGACUCUCGCCGGAAUCGAGAGAUCAGACCGUCUGCGACUGUUGACCACGAGGGGACAGGCUCGAGGUCAACGAUUCCCUCCAUGCUUGUAAACUUAAGAACCACAUGAUUGCCGCAGACGGUACGCCUCCUCGCGCCACCUGAGAGCCUGCUGAAUAAGUACCAAUAAAGUCUGAGGUCGGGACCGUCGCAGUGAACUUUCGAACGGGUCCGACGGACUUCUCUGGCUACUGUUAUAUAAUAGUACAGUAAUAUAAUGUAAUAUAUAUAUAAUAAUAAAUAAUAAUAAUAAUAAUAGUAAUAAAUAUAUAAUAGUACAGUAAUAUGAUAUAAUAUAUAUAUGAUAUAAUAUAUAUAAUAAUAAAUAAUAUUAAUAAACAGUAAUACUGUUCUGUGGCUUGUGUUUUUCAAUGAAUUUUUAUUUAAAGAACAGUGGACACUUGUAAGGAAAAUCCAUUGAUUGAUUUCUUAACAGAUUCUCUUAUAUUGGAAUAUUAUUUUAAUGGCUUUCAGUGUGUAGCAAGAGGUUAACCCCUGAUUAUAUGGAUACACCGUGACACGUGGUUGGUUUAAUUAAUUUCAAGUUCAAAGAAAGUUAGACACCUCAAGUCAAGUUAACCCCUGACCAUAUGCAUACAUCAUUACACUAACGUACUUCAAUGAACCUUAGGUUCAAAGAACACCACAUGACCAACUCCAAGUUAACUGCUGAUAUAUAGUGAGCUUCGCAGAAACCUAAAUGAGUAAGCCUGAAGAACCGGAUACUAACUGUAUAACUCAGUAGAUAAGGAGAAAUCUUAGAAAUUAAGUUUAUUAAAUAACUGUAAGCGAUUCUUGGCCACAGUGGACAUGUUGGCAACAUAAGUUUCGUUGCCUGUAGUCGUAGUUACAGAGCCGUUGCUUAGAAUUGCAUCUAAAUUGCAUUUAGAAGGCGGGACUGAAGUGUCCUCGCGGCUGUUCCCCUCAACAUGUUGCCGCACACACGACGCCUUCUGCAUUUGACCGCGGUGUCGUCUGCGCAGGCCGCCAAUUGGCGCGUUUUCAAUGUUUAAGAGCGCUUUCCUGAAUAGUGGGGCGAACGAUGCGCAGCGCGGCCACUCCGCGUUACUCCCUUUUCAUGCGGAGAACAGCAACGGAGUGAAGCAGCCACCUGCUGGCUCGAAUCCUCCUGCGAUGCCUGCUUCCUUGGUACUCGGAGAGCUCGUUAACACUGGCCUGCCUCACGCUUGUGCAUUAGGCUUGUUACGGGGAAAUCGACGCGAGAGCGAAAGAGAGAGAGAGAGAAAACACUAACGUAGUCCGUAGACACGAGGAUAGUUAGGUGUUAGAAAUGAACGGAGGUACGAACCCGUAGGCUGUUGCCAGAACUAAUGAAUCUUUAUUAUCCAAAGCUUCCUUUUUAUACAGUGGCGUCGGUGGCCAUGACAGGUACAAAGUUUGAGUGACAAAGAUGUAUGCCUAGGUUGGGGUAUCUUCGUAGGGGUGACUAAGAGUGAUAUUUGAAGGGCCUAUCGGUGAAUCAGCGUGUUUGGCUGUUACACGCUUGUGCAUCAGGCUGUGUGUAUUACCGUCGCCGACAAAAUGGCUGGUCGGUGGAUCCGUUUCACCAGUGAACUACAGAUAUUUAUGCUCAUGAAUCAAUUUGCAGCAAUUGCAAUGGUGGAAUGGAUUCUUUAAACUCUUGUGACUCUCUUGUGUCUCAAAUUAAUGAGUUCAAAUUGUAAACGUAUGAAGUCCAGUUAUAAUUUUUGAGAUCUCUUUGGAAUGGAUUCUUUGUUGAA